This 134-nucleotide ribosomal RNA is filed under the name Prototheca wickerhamii. RNAcentral describes it as "partial small subunit ribosomal RNA". It matches the Rfam family "Eukaryotic small subunit ribosomal RNA", at positions 1681 to 1801 of the family's 1831-position model. The record is from RNAcentral. Lineage: Eukaryota; Viridiplantae; Chlorophyta; Trebouxiophyceae; Chlorellales; Chlorellaceae.
UCUACCGAUUGGACGCUGCGGUGAAGACCUGGGAUUGGGGAGAGGGGUUUGGAGGUUUUCCGAUUUCCAGCCCCUCGUCCCGAGAACUCGUCUGAACCCCAUCGUCUAGAGGAAGAAGAAGUCGUAACAAGGUU